RNAcentral lists this ribosomal RNA (465 nucleotides) under uncultured bacterium. RNAcentral describes it as "partial 16S ribosomal RNA". It matches the Rfam family "Bacterial small subunit ribosomal RNA", at positions 28 to 507 of the family's 1533-position model. The record is from RNAcentral.
GACGAACGCUGGCGGCGUGCUUAACAUAGGAAAGUAGAACGGAAAGGUACCUUUGGGGGUAGUUGAGUGGUGAACGGGUGAGUAACACGUGAGUAACAUGAUAUUGACUUCGGGAUAACUUCAGGAAACUGGGGCUAAUACCGGAUAGGAAUCCUUGCUGCAUGGUGGGGGUUGGAAAGCUUCGGCGGUUUUGGAUGGACUCGCGGCUUAUCAGCUUGUUGGUGGGGUAGUGGCUUACCAAGGCUUUGACGGGUAGCCGGCCUGAGAGGGCGACCGGCCACAUUGGGACUGAGAUACGGCCCAGACUCCUACGGGAGGCAGCAGUGGGGAAUAUUGCACAAUGGGCGGAAGCCUGAUGCAGCAACGCCGCGGGCGGGAUGACGGCCUUCGGGUUGUAAACCGCUUUCAGCAGGGGCGAAGCUUGUGGUGACGGUACCUGCAGAAGAAGCACCGGCUAACUACGUU